RNAcentral lists this ribosomal RNA (253 nucleotides) under uncultured bacterium. RNAcentral's name for it is "partial 16S ribosomal RNA". It matches the Rfam family "Bacterial small subunit ribosomal RNA", at positions 524 to 776 of the family's 1533-position model. The record is from RNAcentral.
GACGUAGGGCGCGAGCGUUGUCCGGAUUUAUUGGGCGUAAAGAGCUCGUAGGCGGCUUGUCGCGUCGUUCGUGAAAACCUGCAGCUCAACUGCAGGCUUGCGGUCGAUACGGGCAGGCUGGAGUUCGGUAGGGGAGACUGGAAUUCCUGGUGUAGCGGUGAAAUGCGCAGAUAUCAGGAAGAACACCCGUGGCUAAGGCGGUUCUCUAGUACGGUACUGACGCUGAGACGCGAAAGCGUGGGGAGCGAACAGG